GUUAAGCGACUAAGCGUACACGGUGGAUGCCCUGGCAGUCAGAGGCGAUGAAGGACGUGCUAAUCUGCGAUAAGCGUCGGUAAGGUGAUAUGAACCGUUAUAACCGGCGAUUUCCGAAUGGGGAAACCCAGUGUGUUUCGACACACUAUCAUUAACUGAAUCCAUAGGUUAAUGAGGCGAACCGGGGGAACUGAAACAUCUAAGUACCCCGAGGAAAAGAAAUCAACCGAGAUUCCCCCAGUAGCGGCGAGCGAACGGGGAGCAGCCCAGAGCCUGAAUCAGUGUGUGUGUUAGUGGAAGCGUCUGGAAAGGCGCGCGAUACAGGGUGACAGCCCCGUACACAAAAAUGCACAUGCUGUGAGCUCGAUGAGUAGGGCGGGACACGUGGUAUCCUGUCUGAAUAUGGGGGGACCAUCCUCCAAGGCUAAAUACUCCUGACUGACCGAUAGUGAACCAGUACCGUGAGGGAAAGGCGAAAAGAACCCCGGCGAGGGGAGUGAAAAAGAACCUGAAACCGUGUACGUACAAGCAGUGGGAGCCUCUUUUAUGGGGUGACUGCGUACCUUUUGUAUAAUGGGUCAGCGACUUAUAUUCUGUAGCAAGGUUAACCGAAUAGGGGAGCCGAAGGGAAACCGAGUCUUAACUGGGCGUUAAGUUGCAGGGUAUAGACCCGAAACCCGGUGAUCUAGCCAUGGGCAGGUUGAAGGUUGGGUAACACUAACUGGAGGACCGAACCGACUAAUGUUGAAAAAUUAGCGGAUGACUUGUGGCUGGGGGUGAAAGGCCAAUCAAACCGGGAGAUAGCUGGUUCUCCCCGAAAGCUAUUUAGGUAGCGCCUCGUGAAUUCAUCUCCGGGGGUAGAGCACUGUUUCGGCAAGGGGGUCAUCCCGACUUACCAACCCGAUGCAAACUGCGAAUACCGGAGAAUGUUAUCACGGGAGACACACGGCGGGUGCUAACGUCCGUCGUGAAGAGGGAAACAACCCAGACCGCCAGCUAAGGUCCCAAAGUCAUGGUUAAGUGGGAAACGAUGUGGGAAGGCCCAGACAGCCAGGAUGUUGGCUUAGAAGCAGCCAUCAUUUAAAGAAAGCGUAAUAGCUCACUGGUCGAGUCGGCCUGCGCGGAAGAUGUAACGGGGCUAAACCAUGCACCGAAGCUGCGGCAGCGACGCUUAUGCGUUGUUGGGUAGGGGAGCGUUCUGUAAGCCUGUGAAGGUGUGCUGUGAGGCAUGCUGGAGGUAUCAGAAGUGCGAAUGCUGACAUAAGUAACGAUAAAGCGGGUGAAAAGCCCGCUCGCCGGAAGACCAAGGGUUCCUGUCCAACGUUAAUCGGGGCAGGGUGAGUCGACCCCUAAGGCGAGGCCGAAAGGCGUAGUCGAUGGGAAACAGGUUAAUAUUCCUGUACUUGGUGUUACUGCGAAGGGGGGACGGAGAAGGCUAUGUUGGCCGGGCGACGGUUGUCCCGGUUUAAGCGUGUAGGCUGGUUUUCCAGGCAAAUCCGGAAAAUCAAGGCUGAGGCGUGAUGACGAGGCACUACGGUGCUGAAGCAACAAAUGCCCUGCUUCCAGGAAAAGCCUCUAAGCAUCAGGUAACAUCAAAUCGUACCCCAAACCGACACAGGUGGUCAGGUAGAGAAUACCAAGGCGCUUGAGAGAACUCGGGUGAAGGAACUAGGCAAAAUGGUGCCGUAACUUCGGGAGAAGGCACGCUGAUAUGUAGGUGAAGCGACUUGCUCGUGGAGCUGAAAUCAGUCGAAGAUACCAGCUGGCUGCAACUGUUUAUUAAAAACACAGCACUGUGCAAACACGAAAGUGGACGUAUACGGUGUGACGCCUGCCCGGUGCCGGAAGGUUAAUUGAUGGGGUCAGCGCAAGCGAAGCUCUUGAUCGAAGCCCCGGUAAACGGCGGCCGUAACUAUAACGGUCCUAAGGUAGCGAAAUUCCUUGUCGGGUAAGUUCCGACCUGCACGAAUGGCGUAAUGAUGGCCAGGCUGUCUCCACCCGAGACUCAGUGAAAUUGAACUCGCUGUGAAGAUGCAGUGUACCCGCGGCAAGACGGAAAGACCCCG
This 2066-nucleotide ribosomal RNA is filed under the name Escherichia coli. Its description in RNAcentral is "partial 23S ribosomal RNA". It matches the Rfam family "Bacterial large subunit ribosomal RNA", at positions 1 to 2093 of the family's 2925-position model. RNAcentral also lists the same sequence under 1 other name. The record is from RNAcentral. Lineage: Bacteria; Pseudomonadati; Pseudomonadota; Gammaproteobacteria; Enterobacterales; Enterobacteriaceae.